CCGAGUUAGGGUCUCCUCCGUGAGGCCCGACCUCCCAACCCUGUGUCUACACAAACCUGUACGUGUUGCUUCGGCGGACCGGUGGCCCCCGCGAGGGGACCGCCGCCGGGGGACGACGGCUUCACGGCCGCCCCCUGGAAAGUCGUCCGUCGAUGGCCCCAACCCAACCAAAACUCAGAAUACCAAACAGUGAAAACACCUUCUGAAUCAGACUUUUGAUGUAACAAUCAAUAAAAACA
RNAcentral lists this unclassified non-coding RNA (239 nucleotides) under uncultured Chaetothyriales. RNAcentral's name for it is "sequence contains ITS1". The record is from RNAcentral. Lineage: Eukaryota; Fungi; Ascomycota; Eurotiomycetes; Chaetothyriales.